This 3064-nucleotide long non-coding RNA is filed under the name Ananas comosus (pineapple). RNAcentral describes it as "long non-coding RNA (ACOM_LNC029690)". Lineage: Eukaryota; Viridiplantae; Streptophyta; Magnoliopsida; Poales; Bromeliaceae. The record is from RNAcentral.
UUACUCAUCAUUUCAAAUUUAUAAAAGAAGUAUGAUAUAAGGUUAAUUGAUUUUCAUUUGAAUUUCAACCAUAUUUGUAAAUGCAUUUUAAUUAAUACCAUAUUCCAAAUUUUUUUAAAGUCACACCUCAUUUGCAAAGCAUAUUUGAAAUUAUACUACAUUUGAAAAGCCAUUUGAAAUGAUAGCACAUUUGUAAAACUCUUUUGAAUUAUUACCACAAAUGCUAAGCUCUUUUAAAUUCAUUUGUAAAAUGCUUUUGAAUUAAUACUACAUUUAUAGAACUCUUUUGAGUUAAUACCACAUUUGUAAAACACUUCGAUCUUUUUGAAAUCAUCCCAUAAUGAAAUCACUUUUGAAUUUAAACUAUAUAUCAGACCUCUUUUAAUUCCAUACUACAUUAAAAAUAAUGGUUAAUUUUUUAUUAAGUUUAAAUCAAACCUAUGUGGUAGCUAGAUUUGUUAACUUCGUUAAGUUUACGGGCUCAAAUUCGAUAAAAGUACAAAGAAGCCCGCCAUAAUAUUGUUGUGGUACUUGCAUCCAAUUUGAUACAAUUUGAUUUUGUCCGGGCUAUUUUGAAAUUUUUGAUUGAACGACUAUCUUUGAUCAAUUUUGGUUCGGCUUGUGUCAUUUCAAAUCCAACUAAAACCUGAAAUUACUAUGCAAAAAAGUAAAUCCAAAAUUUAUUUGUAAUCAUCAAAAUUAUCAUUGCAUAAAAUCCAACACGUGGUGCUAUAGAGUCAUUUUCGAUGAUAUAGUAUCCAAAUUGAUAAUUGACACUGUUGAAGAUUGACGUCCUAGGACUACUCCCAUCCUAUCAUACUUAACUCUUUUAAUCUUUUGGACCUAGUCACCACCCAAAAUGAUUAAGAUGGAUUGAGAGUUUUAACCCUAUUAUAUCUUAUAUAUAGAACUACCUGGGGUCUCACAUUCUCCUUGCCUUAAGCCCUGACGUCCUCGUCAGGCUGAGACUCACAAGUACGAGGCGAUGUAAGACUCGUCUCGCUAACCUAAACCGACCUUAUGGUGAGUUGCGCUCCACCCAUAACAGUCAACAGCAUGAGAGCCUCGCUCUCCCCGUUGUACAAUCUUUGCUCAACCGAGACUAAUCUCAUACUUCCAGCUGGUAAUUAGCUCUGAUUCCAACUGUGACGCCCCACUUUCCAAAGCGUCACCCAUCCUAGGAUUACUCUAGUCCUAGCACGCUUAACUCUCUUAACCUCUUAGACCUAACUACCGCCCAAAAUGCUAUAGCGGGGUUAAGAGGUUUUAGCCCUAUUAUAUCUUACAUAUAGGACUACUUAGGGUUUCACAUUCUCUCAUUCUUUAAGCCUUGAUGUCCUCGUCAAGCUCAGACUCACAAGUAUCAGUCAAUGUAAGAUUCUGUCUCUGAAGCCUAAACCAACUAUGUGGUGAGCUGCGCUUCACCCAGAAUAGUCAUCAGCAUAAGAGCCUCGCUCUCGCCGCUGUAUAACCUGGCUCAGCCGAGACUUAUCUCACAUUUUCGGCUGGUAAUUGGCUCUAAUACCAACUAUGACGCCCCACUUCCUAAGGGGUCACCCCUAAUCCUAGCACGCUUAACUCUCUUAACCUCUUGGGCUGCACCUACUGCCCAAAAUGCUAUAUCCGGGCUAAAAGGAGAAUGAAACUGUUUUAACGGGAGAAGAAACUAUAACGCCCCAAAAUUUGACUAUAAAUGUUUAAAAAGAUUUCAAAAUAAUUUUAGAGGAUGAUGGCCAGUUUUAUAUGAUUUUGAACUCAAAUUGAGUCAAAAUGAAUUGUUUGAGGACGAAAAUUUCAAAACAGUUGAGUCUAAUCUGCCAUUGCACAAAUAGCCAUUUUGGAAAAACUUUUAACUAGGUUAUUGACAUCAGAUUUGGGCAAAAUUGGUCUCAUUGGAAAGAUCGUUGAGUUAUCUUUCUAACGCAACGUGAAUCUCCUUAAACGGAUAUCGGACGAAAGAGUUAUUUCAAUUUUUCUGACAGUCGUCGAUGCAGUCCUGAGCUUUGAGCUAGUUUGGGACUUUACCAUUUGUUAUGGGCUGUUUGGUAAAUUUGCUAAUUAAAAUUAUAACAUAUCAACUUAGGUGGUUAACUAUUAGUCCAACCAUAAUUUUUUCCAAGAAAAUGUUGAGUAAAAUGACUGAAACUCUUUUAAAUGGGCUGGUUUGAAUGGGAGAAGAGAAAAACUGUUUUAUUCCUAUUCUCAUCUUCUUUUUCCUAUUUUCCCUUCCUCUCAAUACCCUAGUUCUUCUCUCUUUUAUUCAGCAAUGAGAAGAAGGAUUUCUCCUUCAAAUUGAAGGAAUUUAGAAGGAGACUUUUGGAGAAGGAAACCCAUUUUCAAGUUAAAACUCUAGCUAGAGAACAAAGUAAGUAGAUUUUCGAUUUUGUACUUUGUAAAUAUCAAAGAGUGAAUAUUUUACGUUGCAUGCAUGUUUUUCUAUUCUCUUUGAAGGUCCCAAUCUAUCUUUUAUGAAUUGACUAUAGUUUUUGAAGAUUUUAUGACACUAUAUUCAAAUAUUGAAGCCCUAAAUUAGGGGUUUAUGCCCUAUUACGAGAUUUCCUUGUAAUUUUAGGGUUGGGACCCUAAGAGCCCAAGAUGAGAUCUUGAUCGUUAACUUUUAGUUCUUUCAACUUGAAUUUGGAGGCCAAUAUAUAGUUAUAUGAAUUGCCUUUGUUUUUAAGAGUUUUUGAUGAGUUACUUGUGUUUUAUGAGGCUUCAAAAUUGGGAUUUUGAUCAACUAGGAGAUUAAACUUUUAUAGUUGAUUUUAAGAGUUUAAAAUACUUAAAUUGAGAUGUCAAUCUUGUUCAAAUGUAUUGGAAAUGAAUGUAUGAUUGAGCUAAGUUGUUUGAUCAAAUUUGAACUUAGUUUGUUAAUAUUUCGUCCAAUUUAUGCUAUUUUCAAGUUGGACUUUUCCGAUUAGUUUUCGGAGGGUAAAAACAUCUUGUUAAGGUGUCGUUUGUUAAAAUUAAGUAUUCCAAACCCUUCUAUAGGAUUUAAAUGAGUUAUUUUAAGGUUGUUAUCUAUUUUGAGAGAGUUAAGCAUGCUAGGACUAGAGUAGUCCUA